ACUCUGAAUAAGACGAGAAAAAAAAAUUCAUAUCAUCCAUUACAAAAAAAUUUCACUUGCAAAAUUUACAAAUAUUAAGGAUUAUUUUUGUUCUAUAGCCAACUUUAGCUAUAUAUAUGAUGUUUGUUUACAAUUUCAGUAGACUUACCUUCUGGCCUAUUCCGCCGUUUUGGAGCAACUCCAUUUCCUUGGCUUGGGACAACAAUGCCUUGAGGUCAACCUCAUUAUGCCUCACUACUUGUGCCAUCUCCUCGAUCGAUCGAUAACUAUCCUUUAAUUCUGCUAUAUAUAUAUAUAUAUAUGUAUUUUCUGUUUCUAUUCUUGAUGUCUAUAUAUCUCUCUUCCAAAGGCUAGCUCUAUUUAUACUGGCACAAACAGAGGGUACUGCGAUUAUUAUAUCCCAUAAUAUCCUAUCUUCAAAUAUUCCUUCCCUUUUCAAAGUAGGGAUCCGAUCCUGAUAAGUUUAACAUCAUCAUCAUCAUCAUCAUCAUCAUCGCCAAGGAUAUAGAGCAGCAGAUUCUGUUUAAUAAUUUUGUUGGAAUAAUUCUUUUCCAUUUCCCAGUUCAAUAGUUCUUUCUUUAGCUUGUUGCGCAGGCAAAAUUCCAUGAAGGCGAAAGGCACGUAGGCAUACUAGUUGUGGGCAAGGAAAUUGUACCUUGCUAGGGUUAGGAUUUCGUGUUGGCUGAGGAGGAGAGAAAUUCACGAAGAGCACGGAAUUGAUUGGUUGAUUGAAGAGGGGAGAACGACAGGUGGGCGAUUACUCCAACGACGUGUGGCAGAACCCCUAGAAUCCAGGAACCGUGUUAGGGUAGUAGGGAUUCCAAGAGCCUUCUUGAGUCCUUCGUUCUUGAGAGAAUGUCUAAACCCCUUUUAGUGCUUUUAGGUGGAAUCUCCGAGCCUUUAAGUCACCAAAAAGGGUUCUUUGAUCUUCCGAGAGUCCAAGUCUUGAGUCUAAAGAGAAGUCUCUUUCCCAAUGGAAUGGAAGGGUAUUUAUAGGGUUUUCUGGAAAGUAGUCAUGUGCGAGGCACAUGCUUUCAGGGAAAUUCCAGAAAUGCCCUUUAGUCAUUAGAAUAAUGCCCAUGUUGCCCUGUCCUUCUAGCCACCAAUCCAAUCCCUCAAUUAAUUCCCACAUCGAGCCGCCUCCACGAGUCUUCUGCCUCGGGACACGUGGAGGCUUCUCCCGGGUCUAGCACAUUUAUUUAUGACUUUUUCAUCUUCAUUCCAUUCGGUUAUGCGAACACUAAUUUGCACAUUUAAUGAGGCCGUGGAACCCUAAUUGCGCAUUUAAUUCAAUUAGGUCAUGUGAACUCUAAUUUUACACUUUGGCCCACAUUUGCCCCCUGCGCGAGAGUCGCAUUUUCAAAUAGACGAUCGUGCAAGAAAACUGCAAGCCUUUGAAUGAUUUUGCGGGACUUCACUUUACAUGUCUUGAAGACAAUAGUCCUAGAAGAGGGAACUCCUAGGGAGCCAAACCCUUAGAGUUAAACCCUAGGAAGGCAAGACCUAGCGAGGCUCUUCCUUGGACAUAUUGAAAAAUCUUCUGAAAUCUUUCUGUAUUUUGCCCAAUAUUUAUUUCCAAUUCCGCAAGCAGAUCAACUGUCCGAGCAGCCUCAAUACGAACAGAAACAGAUUCCGAUAACUUGGAAUGGAAAAUAGAAUUAAGACCAGGCAAAACAUUGAAUAGAGCGAUGUAGAGAUCUAAAAUUUCAAACAACUUGAGAAACGAUGGACGGGUACUACUAACGCCUUCUGCAAAGUUAAUCAAGUGCAAGGCGGAUUCUUUAACUAUACCCAUAAAACACACAUCAAAUGUGGAGUUACCAAGUCCACUAAAGAUUUGUUCACAGAGUUUCUUCUCCUUUAUGAAGAGAUCUUCAAAACAAACACGAGAUGCUCGUAUCCACAAUUUGAUCUUUGGUGCCAACAUAUCCCACUCCAAACUCCGGAACUCACCGAUGCUAUAUUUACCGACGCCGAGGUGUCGAAAUUCUGCAUCCACAAUCAACUUCCUUGAAGUCCUGUAGAAUUCAACGCAGUCGCCAACAUUACCGGCUGAGUUCAAUCGUUCAAUGAUACUCCUAAAACCAUAAACUUCGUCAAUAUGUCCAUCAUCCUGUAAUUCAUAGCUAAAAGUAUCGGUUAUUGUACUUGAAAAAAUGGUAGAACUCCUAUCGGCCAAGAAAGCAUUGUGGACUCUGUUGGUUUGUCGGGUCAAUAUGACCCGAAACUCUAACGGAAGGGUUUCCAUGCCCGUUUAGAUCAUGUUUUGAUGCUUUCAGUUUGGGGAUCUGAGAUUAUUCUCGAUCGUCUGAAGCUCGUCAAAAGUACUGAUCAAUCUCAUGGCGGUCUCCGUCGAAGUCGAAGAUGAUGAAUUUAAUAAUUCCGCCCGAAUAUUUUGUGUUCUACCAAUUCCAUUCAGACAAUACAAAAGAGAUAUAUAUAUCUGCCUAAAAAUUGAAAACCGAAAAUCAUCUCUGAACAGCAGGCUUUGAAAAUUACUCCUACUAGUAGUUUAUAAAUAUAAAUACUUUGAAGAUUGUAAGAAGUUCAUAGCCAUCCACUAGUAAAAGUACUUACCAUUACUAAUUGAUGUCACGUUACCGCAAUUAGGACGGAGAGAGAAAGUCGGACCAACUCUUUUUUUUUUUCAAAUCAAACAUUAAUUUUUUAUUUCCAAAAUCAAAUCUUAAUUUUUAUUUUCAAAAUAAAAUCAAAUCUUAAUUUUUUAUUUCCAAAAUAAAAUCAAAUCUUAAUUUUUUAUUUCCAAAAUAAAAUCAAAUCUUUCUUAAUUUGAAAAGAGAUUUUUUUUUUUUGAAAAUGAAAUAAAAUAAAAUCUCUCUUUUUUUUUUUUGGCAAAUCAAAUCAAAUCAUUUUUUUUUAUCAUUCACGCAAAAGAUUUAAGUGCAUGAAUAAAAUAAAAUAAAAAUGCAUGAAUUUAAGAGUCAUAUAAUCUCACAGAUCUAAUGAAGGGGAAUUGCCACAUGCCUACGACAUUCUCUAUGAAAAAAAUGAUGAAUUAAGGCAAAACGAGAUCCAAUCAUGUAUUAUUUUUUUUUUGAAAAUAAAAUAAAUCUUAUUUUAUUAUCUUUCAAAAAAAUAAAAUAAAAUCUUAUUUUAUUAUUAUUAUUUUUUAAAAUAAAUAAAUAAAUAAAUAAAACAUUUACUUAUCUUAUUUUUAAGAAGUAAGGAGUCGAUGAGAAUGUCUUGUAUCCAUAUUGAAGCCUUUGAUAAUUCUUUGAGCAAAGAUGAUUAUAGCUUUUUGAUGAUUCUGACAUCUUUUAUAUGAGACAAGUCUUCACAUGCUUCCGAUUUUUAUUUGCCAUAAAGAAAGAAUCCAUUAAAGCUUCACAUGCCAGUUGCCACUCCUCUGUUAGCCAACAAAAAAAAAAAACAUUGUUUUGCUGCUUUAUUUGGGUGUUAUAGCCACAGGCAAGCCUCUUUCUAUCCACGCCGAACCCUACUGAUUCAAUUUUUUAUUAUUUUUUUUUUAUUAAAAAAAAUCAAGAACUUUUGGAACACUUAUAUUUAGAAGAAGCUUGUACGUAUGGGAAUUGAUGAUCCAAAAACCCACAACCCAAUUCUUAAUCUCAGUUUCUUUCUUGCUAAUCUUUCUCAGUUGAUGAACCCUUUGGAUAAUAUUAACGAUCCUCUUAGGAGGUUGCAAUAUUCAGAUCCCACUCAACUACUAGCCAAAAUCCAAAUUUUACAUAACCUAUUGCAGGCCAUAAAUGUGAGUCCUUCUUUCCCAAAUAUUAAAGUAGUAAACGUGAAUAAUCUCUUGGGAUCAUAUAAUUAUCUUAGCCAAUUUGAUGGAGUGAUCACGAGUGAAGCUAUCAACCCCAUGAUUAAUCCUAUCCCCAACAACCGGCCUUUAAUAUAUAUACUCCAAUCCCAAACUCAUUUGGAUUCUUUAGCCCACAAAUAUUUAACAAUGUUAAUAGCUUAAGUGGUGUUGCAUGCAAUAUUACUCAUCAAACUGAAAAUCAGCUUCCGGAAAGUUCCAAUACCAAGGAAAUGGACAGUAUGAAGCCUACAAACAUCCCCUCCGGUUCAACCAACUCUGACAAUAUCUUUGAGGUUUUGGAGAAAUUUGUUGAUUGUGAUCAAGCCAAUAGUACUUCCUUCUUGCUUCUUUUUUUUUUUUAUUCAGGUAACUCUAGUCUUUCUUUUGUCUUCCGAGCCCCAUUACCUUGAUCAUAUCUUGGUUUUUUCCCUCGGAUCAUAAAGAAAGAUUGGUAUUUUUUUUUUCUUGCAGGCCCUCCCUGUUGAACAUUCUGCAGACUUGGGAACAACCAAGGAGGCCCCGUUUCUCAAUAAUUGGGGAAGGGAUCCCCUCUUUUGGUCUUUCCGACGUCUUUUGAGAGCGAGUCUAGACUUAUAAUCGUACAACACUUCCUCCGCCAGAGAAGAAAGGCGUGUUUCUUUAUGUCGCGGCUUGCGGAGGUUUGGGUGACUUCCUCCCUUCCGAUCGCAUUCUCCGCAUGUGCAUAGAGAAACAAGAAUAGCCUUUCAGUCCCUUUCGCUUCCUGUCUGACUCAUCUGACCGCCUUCAAGGAUGGCAACAUUGGACCGACUUCCCGUUGUGUGCUCUUCUUCAUACACAUUCAUUACUACUUGGGGGGGAAUUCACCCCUAUUCUAGAGGAUGUCUCUGCCCUCCACCAGUAGGUCGUACUUCGGUUUGCCCCCUGCACGUGAGUCACACCUUUGGUGGGACAACCGUGCAUAAUUUCUCCAGCAUUGAAAUCUUGCUACAAAUUUCUUAAUGAUUCGCGGAGCACGAUGGUGCAAGCCUUGAACAUAAAAUCCCUAGGAGGGGAGACCUGUAGGGGGCGAGCCCUAGAGAAGCUCUCCCUGGCUAUCUUGGAAAAAAUCUUCUAUCUUAUCCUUCCGAAUAUUACUUUCUUUUGGAAGUUCUCUCAUUUUCAAAAUUAAGAAGUCAACGAGAAGGCACCGAGUGAACAUACUUCAAAUUGGGGUGAACAAGCGAUGAAGGAGAUCUUUCCUCUAGGUACCCGAAUCCUGAGCGGCUUCAUUCUGGAACAUUGAUUAACGAGCUAGGAGAAGUAAAAGGUAAGAGGGGAGAGCCUCUGUAGGUGUUUGAACCCCAGGGGCCGAACCCUAGAAGACUGCCUAUUCCUUCACUCUUUUUUUCCUUCUUCCUUUCACUUGAAUCUUGGUCGUGUCCUAGCUUGGUUCCCCAAUAUAGUUGAUCGGAUACAUCUUCAUAGGACCCUUCUCCAGAUUUUCUUGCUCGAUUGUCUUCUGAGACUUAUUCUCGAAAUGCACAUUCUCUCUCUAUUAUCUGUGAGCAGAAGACUUAGAGGUGUUUUAGUUGUGAAGUUGAUGACUUCUCGAUCCUUCUUGGGCCUUGACAUGUCUCCCUUCCGUGCUAAGCUGGAUCUCUUCACUUUCAGUUAUCAUGUCAUUGCACUUUGUUCGGAGGUCACUUCACGUCCUCAUGAGAAUGACUUUCUUUAUGUAAGGGCCUCAGGAGCUUCAGGACGUCAUGGAUAGAUUGAAGGCCAAGCUUCGGGAAAUUGAUUCAUCUGCCCAAGACCUUAAGGAACUGUUAGCCUGAAGUUCGAAAGGCUCGAGAUACUGCCAUUGUCGACUUGGAGGCUUUAGCUAUGCCCCCAGUUCAGUUUGAUGUAUCAUGACCUUUGGAUCAUGACUUCAUGUAGCUUUUAUUUCUUCCAUCACUUUUGAAGAUAAAGUGUAUUAUCGAGGAUUUCAGGGUCAAGUGUCUCAAUCACUUUUGAAGUUGAAAGUAUAACUCUUUUUUUUUUCUGGAUCGAGGGCUGAUUAAUCAGGUGCCUCAUUACUUUUGAAGUUGAAAGUAUAACUUUUUUGGGUCGAGGGCUGAUUAAUCAGGUGCCUCAUUACUUUUGAAGUAGAAAGUAUAACUUUUUCGAGUCGAGGGCUGAUUAAUCAGGUGCCUCAUUACUUUUGAAGUUGAAAGUAUUUUUUUUUUGGGUCGAGGGCUGAUUAAUCAGGUGCCUCAUUACUUUUGAAGUAGAAAGUAUAACUUUUUCGGGUCGAGGGCUGAUUAAUCAGGUGCCUCAUUACUUUUGAAGUUGAAAGUAUAACUUUUUUGGGUCGAGGGCUAAUUAAUCAGGUGCCUCAUUACUUUUGAAGUAGAAAGUAUAACUUUUUCGGGUCGAGGGCUGAUUAAUCAGGUGCCUCAUUACUUUUGAAGUUGAAACUAUAACUUUUAAGAAAUUUGCUCUGAUCAAAAUUUGAUGUAUUUAUUUAACGAUCAAGAUAUAAUACAUUUUUUUUUCAUUUUCUAGUCUGCUAGGGCAGUAGCUUAUUCAGCAUUAUGCUUCUUAUUAUAGUUCGAUUUCACCUGCCGCUAAUUUUUCAUGAUAAAUUCUCCUCAAAUUACGACAAUUCAUGAUGGAAUGUCCUGGGUAUUGAUGAUACACGCAAAAGUCUGAUCUCUUCUUCAUCUCCUCGGUCACAACAAAUCUGGGUUUUGGAGGCUUCACCAUUCCAUUUUCUACCCAUUUCUCAUACAAAUCUUUAAAUAUCUCCUCACCACAAGUGAUAGCUUCGGGCUCUAGCGAAUUUAUAUUCUUUUUGAUUCUUUCCCUCUUGCCCCCCUGUGGCUCUGACUGAGAGUCUGUCAAAGCCGUAGUAGCUGUCCUCUUACUCUUCCAGGUAGCAAUCGGAUGGUUCACAGAUACUGCCAUAAUUUCUCCAUGGUCCUGUGCAAAGGUGGAAAGUGUCGCAAAGGAAUCACAAGACUUAGUGAUCAAGUGGGGCUUGAAGGCGUCGAGGGCGCCGUUGUUGCAAAUACUCACUAAAUUCUUCUCUUCGAUUGGCUCCACACACUUCCGCGCCUGGGCCCGAAAGGUGGAAAGUGUCGCAAAGGAAUCACAAGACUUAGUGAUCAAGUGGGGCUUGAAGGCGUCGAGGGCGCCGUUAUUGCAAAUACUCACUAAAUUCUUCUCUUCGAUUGGCUCCACACACUUCCGCGCCUGGGCCCGAAAUCUGUCAACAUAAUCAGAUAACUCCUCAUUCGAAUUUUGUUGAAUUCUCAUAAGCUCUAUAAUUGACACUUCCUUCUGAACAUAAAAGAAUUUUUUGAAAAACUGGUGUUUCAUAUCAUCCCAAUCUCGAAUCGAACCCUUCUCCAAAUUGUAGUACCAGCUGAAGGCACCGUUAGUGAGCGUCUUGUUAAACUCCCUCAAUAGAAUAUUGUGGUUGCUCACUUCAUCUAUUCCCAACCACGAGGACAUCGACUCCACAAAUCUUGCAAUAUGCUCUCUCGCAUUCCCUUUCUCUCCACUAUACUUAGGGAACUGAAGUGGAUGUUCAAUGUACCCAGCAGGGUAUGGCUGUCUUCUCACAUGCGCCGGGUAUGGUGGGGUGAAAUCCAGUUCCGCAGGCCUGACUGUCUGUCUACGCAUCUGAUUGAUUACAUCCAUCAUGUCUUCCCUUGUCGCAUAUUGACUGGUUUCUGGAGCCUUUUGGGACGUCAUCGCAUACUGGUUUAUCUGAGGUGUAUGUGGAACACAUGUUGAUGCACACUUGCCUCAUGUAAGAUUGGUUGUACUUGCUGGAUUAUUGGUUGUAUAUGGCUUGGGAUGGUUGGUAUCUGCACUUGUGAAAAUGCUGGGAGUGUAAUCGGGAUGAUGUUUAGCUGAGGCUGGCUAGCUUCCAAUCUAAGUGGUGGUACAUCACCACUGUUCUGGGGCUCCAAGUUGAUGACUGGAAUCGGCUGACUCUCCAUUGCUGGAGGUAUAAUCUGAUUCUCUUUGUUGUUGUUGUUGUUGUCCUCCACUUCUCCUGCUCGUCCCCCUUGCGAACUUCCUGGGAACAUGGUCUUGAAAGUGGGGAUUUGCAUCAACUGCUGGCAAAAAUUCUCCAUUUCUUCUUGCUUUCUCUGCAUCUCUAGCAUCAUGGCCAUCAUCAUCCCUUGCCCUUCUCGUGCUUCUUUCAAUGCUUUAAGCAUCUCCAGUUGCACAGCAUUCGUCUGGUCUCCCCCUGCAUCUUCGCCUUGCCUUCUUGCAUUGGUUUGUUGUUGAUUGGCCAUAUGUGGUGAUGUCGAACUCCCUUCCAAAGCGUCUUCAAUAAUUGGUUGGUCAAAAUCCAGGUUUGCGCCUUGGAAAACUUGAGUUACUUGUCUUGGAACUGGAUCCGGUGACGUAAUGCUAUUUGUUGGUGAAGCAGCUCUUCCUGUAAUUCUCCCACUUCGAGUCGUGGGCAUACCCUUCACGAAUUAUACACCUCCCCAGCAGAGUCGCCAAAGAAAUGUGGGCAAGGAAAUUGUACCUUAGUAGGGUUAGGGUUUCGUGUUGGCUGAGGAGGAGAGAAAUCCACGAAGAGCACGGAAUUGAUUGGUUGAUUGAAGAGGGGAGAACGACAGGUGGGCGAUUACUCCAACGACGUGUGGCAGAACCCCUAGAAUACAGGAACCGUGUUAGGGUAGUAGGGUUUCCAAGAUCCUUCUUGAGUCCUUUGUUCUUGAGAGAAUGUCUAAACCCCUUUUAGUGCUUUUAGGUGGAAUCUCCGAGCCUUUAAGUCACCAAAAAGGGUCCUUUGAUCUUCCGAGAGUCCAAGUCUUGAGUCUAAAGAGAAGUCCCUUUCCCAAUGGAAUGGAAGGGGUAUUUAUAGGGUUUUCUGGAAAGUAGUCAUGUGCGAGGCACAUGCUUUCAGGGAAAUUCCAGAAAUGCCCUUUAGUCAUUAGAAUAAUGCCCAUGUUGCCCUGUCCUUCUAGCCACCAAUCCAAUCCCUCAAUCAAUUCCCACAUCGAGCCGCCUCCACGAGUCUUCUGCCUCGGGACACGUGGAGGCUUCUCCCAGGUCUAGCACAUUUAUUUAUGACUUUUUUGUCUUCAUUCCAUUCGGUUAUGCGAACCCUAAUUUGCACAUUUAAUGAGGUCGUGGAACCCUAAUUGCGCAUUUAAUUCAAUUAGGUCAUGUGAACUCUAAUUUUACACUUGGGCCCACACUAGUAAAUGAUGAUUUUCUUCUAACCAGAAGUAUGAGCAGGUUAAAAGUAGAAGAAUAAGCAUCUCGCAGGCCAAAAAUCAAUAAAAAAACGAAAAGAAGAAAAAGAAAAGAAGAAGACAGCAAUAGCAAGACCAUAUUUUUCUUCUUCUUUCUUUUUAUCUUUUCUUUCUUUCUUUUUUGUUUCUUUUUAGACGGAGGGUUUUAUUUCAUCUUUGAAAAUAAACCUAAGAAUUUAUCAAAGGAAAUAAAGGAUAAACGACAAUACAAAUAUAUAUUUUUAUUUUAUUUUCAAAUAUAUACGCAUGCAUGAUAAAGAUUCACAAUUAUACACACAUAUAUAAUAGGCUACAACCAACAAUCUACUAAACAAUUUGUAAACCAUCGAGGUGUUUUAGUGACAACCUACCGUCUACCAAAUCGUUAUUAGUUAACGAGUUAGUGUAAAUUUUCAUUUUGGAAGCUAGUAUAAACUAUCAUCUCUCAAAUUGUUAUUAGUAGAGGAGCUACGAAUGUAAACUAUCGUCUAACAAACUAUAUUAGCUGAUGAACUAGUGUAAACUAUCAUUUACUAGAUGUAUGAGCAUGUUAAGAGUAGAAGAAUAAGCAUCUCGCAGGUAAAAAAAUAGGAAAAGAAGAAGACAACAAUAACAAGGCCACAUUUUUCUUUUUCUUCCUUUUUAUCUUUUUUUUUCUUUUUUGUUUGUUUUUAGACGGAGGACUUCAUUUCAUCUUUGAAAAUGUGGGUAAAGAAAUUGUACCUUAGGUUUUCAUGUUGGCUGAGGAGGAGAGAAAUCCACGAAGAGUACGGGAUUGAUUGAUGAAUUAAAGAGGGCAGAAGAACAUGUGAUCAAUUACUCUAAUGACAUGUGACAAAACUUUUAGGAUCCGAGAACCUUCUUAGGGUGCCAAAGAUCCAGGGAGUCUUCUAGGGUGUGCUUCGGGUUGAGAGAGAAUCUCCAAGUCUUCAAUCUUUCGAAAAGCCCUCUUCUUCAUAGAAUAGAAGGAGUAUUUAUAGAGUUUCCUGGAAAGUGGUCACAUGACAGACAUAUGACCUCGAGCAAAUUCCAAAAAUACCCUUAGUCACCAGAGUAAUGCCCAGAUCGUCCUGUCUUUCUAGCCACCAAUCCAAUUCCUCAAUCAAUUCUCAAAAUGAGUUGCCUCCAUAAGCCUUUUACCAUGGAGGCUCUUCCUUGAUCUCAUGAUACAAAGCUCUUAUUGCUCAAACCAUGCUUACUUGCUCUUCCUUCUUUAUUUAAGAAUCUCGUCGCCAGAAAUCAUCGGAAGAACUCUGCGCAAGACCCGGGAAGCCGCGUGUUACAAACCAGUCCCACAUCGAAAGAUAUGGAAAAAAAUUAGUCUAUAUAUAAGGAAUUAUGUUACUACCAAUAAUAUACUUUUAAGUCAUGACCUUUUGGGUGAGCCUGUGGUGGGAUAAGAUGACCCAAUAAUAUACUAUUGGGUCAGUGGUUUAAGGCCUUGGGAUUCGGACUUGGGAUUUGACCCAAGAUUUGUUUUGGGCAAUUUUACUCAGGUUGUUACAUAUGGUAUUAGAGCCGACUCUCGAAAGCUCGGGUCGGAUCAUCCGAUCGGGUUGCCGGAAGUGGGGACACGAAACCAGCCGAUAUUAUCCCACAAUGGCUAAAGAGGCAAAGAUCUGUGGAACGUAUAUGUGAUCGAUUUUGAUGGAGAUGUCAAAAAUUUAAGUGGGGUAGUUUAUAACACCUCAGUCCCACAUUGAAAGAUAUGGGAAAUACUAUUGUGCAAUGAUUUAAGCUAUCCAGCUAUAUUGUUAUAGUUUGGAUAUAUUCCAGUAUGAGAAUUAACAAACCCUGAAAUGGGAUAUUUUUAUUGCACUCUGGGAGUGGUGACGUUGAACAUGGAAGUUGUUCUGGAUAAGAUAGUAUUGAUUAAUAAAGGGCAUAUAUAAAGGGCUGAUCAUCCAUCGUGCUCAUAAGAUAAGAUGGUUCACAAAUAAAUUUUUAAGAAAACCUUUUCAAGAAAAGAAAAAGCUUGUUCACGGUCUUAUGACCUCUCAGAUGUUCAAUAUUGAUAUGAUAUUCCAGGAAUAUGAAUGAUUCAAGAUUUAAUUGCUUUACAGUUUUGUUUCACUGUUAAAGCAUGUCUCAAAGAAAACAUUUAAUUAUUGUUAAGAUAUUAAAGAAUGCUAUUACUUAUUGAGCAAUUGAAUGCUCAUUCUUGUUUUGUUAUAAAUGUUUUCAGCUAAUCAGGCUCCAACGGAGGGGUCUAAUAGAGACAAAGGAAAAGGAAAAGCUACUGAGUAGUAGGUAUAUGUUGUAAUAAAUAGUUUAUAUGUUUGUAGAUAUUUAACUAUCAUGUAAUAAGCACUUAAUGGUUACGUACCUGGUAUUAGAAGAACUCUGAUAUAAUAAAUCUAUCAAGUUUGAUAUUAUAUUAUGUUGAAUGCUUGAUAUCUUGAAGCACUGAAUAAGGGUUUAAAAUACCCGAAUUUGGGGGCGUCACACGCCCGAUUCGCCUCCUUUGCGUAUGUUUAACAUGCUCAUACAACUUGUCUAAUACUCCAUUGAUUAAUUCUAAGUAUCAUUAUAUUUCAUAACUUUCAUGUUUAAUAACUUAGAAUAACAUAUUUUAUCGUCAAAAGCAUCCACGUAGUACGAGCAUGCCCGACGCCCUCCGAUCGCCUCCGAUCGAAUGCACAAUAGUCCUAAAAAUAGCCAUUUUAGCCCCUUCUCCCGACCUCAAAUCUCAAAACUUAUAAAAUAAAAGUUUUAGGUCAACUUCUAAUAUUUUCGAAUCAUCUUGAAUCACCUCAAUCAGAGUUCGUAUAAAAAGGUUAUGCAUGUUUUACUAAAGAACGUCAAAGCUGACUUUCUGCACUUUUGGUUCAGCGCCCAUCCUAGGCCUAUUUCCAACGCCCCGGGGCUGGACGGCAGUACGUUCUCAGCCAAAAACUUCAAUUUUCAAAAAUCUUCAGUUUUGAAUGAUUUCAACAUGUCUACUUUGAAAUAUCAUAAAUUUCUCCUCCGAUAUCGAAAUGAGCUCGUUCUUAAUGGGUUGAAAAGCUUGCAACACCCUCUACAAAUUUCUCAGGACAAAAUAAUUUUCUGGAUUCUCUAACAAUCCUUUAAACUUUCUCAAAAGUCCAUCGAGACUAAGAUUUUUAUCAUUCAACAUACUUUACCAAAAUUUUCUGCCAUGACUUCGUUUUAACAUAUUUUUACUCCGUUCCAAUUAGAAUAUCUUCAUAAAUUCCUUAUCUAUAAAUCCUUAUUCCCGAAUUUUAUUUAUUACAACCCUAUCAACAAUAUUAAAAUCCAAUUUAAGUACUCUAAAUAAAUAAUGUCUAUCCUUUAAGCUUUGGCCUACGAUUCCAUUCUUGUUACCACUUCUUAUGCAAUUUAACAAGUUAUUUAUCAUGAUCAAAGCACACAUAACUUUAUUUACUCAAGGUCCUUCAUACUCUUUCAUUAAACAACCAUCGCCAACAACUAAUGAUUCAAGAAAGACUUCACAGAAAUGAAAAGAUGGAUGGUUCUUACCUUCUUAGUUAUUCUUCUUCUUCCUAGCUUAUGCUUUGUUAGCAUGAUAUACAUUGUUGGGCCCUCCAUCUACCAACUUAAGCUUUUAAGAUAAGUUGGUUACUUAACAUGGUAUCAAAGCUUUGGGUGUGCAAGGUCUUGGGUUCGAAUUUUUCCAGCUGCACAAUUAUCUUUCUAUUAAUUUAACAGUGCAAAUGCACUUUAAUUUCUCCCUUCUCUAUAAAAAAAAGUUGCGUUUGAGAGGGAGUGUUAGCAUGAUAUACAUUGUUGGGCCCACCAUGCAUCUAACAGCUUAAGCUUUUAGAUGAGUUGGUUACUUUGCUCUUCUUUCUCUUCUUAUUGGUAUUCGGCCUCUCUAUUUCUCUCUCUCUCUCACUCUCUUGUUUUCUUUCUCUUCUCUCUAGUUUGCCCUCUCUUCCUUUUUUUUUCUUGCAAAUGAAAUGAAUUGGCUAAGUGAAAAAUCCUCUAGAUCAAUUGAAUUCUCCACUAACUAACUCAACCAUACUUCUAAGGUUAGGUUAACUCGUGUAGGGUUAGGGAAUGAUAGGAUGACACUUGUAAGCUUAAUGUUUAAGGAUGACAAGAAGAUAUAAGCUAGCAUUAAAUUAAAUUUUCACCUUGCUAGAUGAGUCACACAUACUCUCCCUUUUGCUUCUUUAAUUGGUUGGAUCACCCCUCCCUUUCUUAGCUCAUAUUUUAAUUAUCCCAUGUGGGAUAAACAUCAAUCCUCUCCCUUAUCUUACUUUUUCACCCAACUUAUCUUUUAUGAGAUAACUACUAAGUCUCAUUCCUUAUCUUUUCUUCGAUAAGCCUUGUCAUUAAUCCUUAUCUCUUCCUUGUUUUCCUUCAACCCAAACUUACCAUAAAUAGAAAGUUUCCAUCUCACCUUCUCUCUUCUCCUUGUCCAUAUUCAAAUCCCCACAUGUUUAAUUCUAGCAAAUGACACUUGCCCUCUUAUAACUUUGGCUCCUAGUUUGGCUCACUUUUUGGCUCAAAGACCAAGCCAUGGCUCCUAUCCUUUGACUCUAAGCUUAAGCCACUCAAACCUUAGGCUCAACCCUUAGCUAAGCCCCUUUAAAUUCCUAACCAAGUCAUUUAAACCUUAGGUUUGGUUAGACUAGAAUUAAUUUAAUUUCUCUUUUUCUUUUAAAUUAGUUAGAUUUCCUAAUUUUUUAGUUACAUUUUUCGUAAUAUGCUUGGUUAGCUGACAAUCCGACUUUUGAUUUUCAAAAAUCCAAUUUCGCCACCAUUCCUUCUUUCCCGAAUAAACGCUAUGUAGUUCUUCGAAAUUUUAAAAAAAACGAAGUUGGGUUUUUAGCGUGAAUAGUUUUUUUUCAUACGACUUUUUCUAGAAAAAUAUUUUAUUAGAGAUUUCAUCUCGCCUUCUCAAAUAAACACUAUGAUGUAAUUCAAAAUUCUCGAAAAAGUAUGUUUAUUAGCGUUUUUCUGUGAUUUUAAAAAUAGUAACUUUUUCGUCUUUUUCUCGAAAAAAUUAUAUUCUCCCAAAACUCCCAACACUUAUACAUAAUCACGUAACACGUAAACUAGGUCAUUAAUCGACCUAAAUCAUGUAACACAUAAUAAUAUCUAUAAAAUUUUAUUUUAUUAGAUAUUCACAAAUAAAACCUAUUUUCAAGCCUAUCUGAAUUCUCGGGUCGUCACAUAGUAUUUAUAGAGUUUCAUGGAAAGUGUUCACAUGCCAGGAACAUGACCUCAUGGAAAUUCAAGAAAUACCCUUAGUCACCAGAGUUAUGCCUAGAUCAUCUUGUCCUUCUAACCACCAUGCAAUCCAAUCCCUCAAUCAAUUUCAAAAAUGAGUUGCCUCCAUAAGCCUUCUGCCUUGGGACCCAUGGAGGCUCCUCCUCGAUCUCAUGCUUCAAAGCAAUUGUUGCUCAAACCAUACUUUCUUACUAUUCCUUCUUUAUUUGAGAAUCUCGUCGAUGGAAAUCCUCGGAAGAACUCUGCGCAAGAACCAGGAGGCCGCGCCUUAGGGGGGCAAUCCUUAGGGGGCGGAACCCUAGGGAGCUGAACCCUAGGGGGGCCUCCUUCAGUUCUUUUCGUUCGUUUCAACCUUUCUUGGUCAGUUUUCAUCAUUUUCUCAUGAUUCUUGGUCCUGUAAGAAGCCUUUCUUGUCAUAGAGAUUAUAAGGCUAAUCAUUAUUUGGAGUUUCACAAGAUUUUAGUUUAUUUUUGUAGUCCAGGCUUAUUUCUUUGUCAUUGCAUCGAUGAAACCCCUUCUAGCAUGCCAAUCGAGAAAAUGAGGUAGCAUAUGCCCUAGGGUGCCGAACCCUAAGAGGUAAUUUAGAUUUCUUUUGUCCAUCUUUUGUCUGUUUUCCUUUUUUCAUUACGAUAGUUCCAACCAAAUCCAGUCGGAGAAGAAAUUGGUUUUAUCUUUUCUUUAAGGAGAAGUCAUCUUGGAGUGGUUGAACCAUAGGGUGGCCGAACCCUAAGGGGCCAAAAUCCUAGGAUUUUUCCCUUUUUGCUGAUUUAAUGCUUCGUUCAUUAAUUGAAGUCUUGUUCAUUUACUUUCGUCUUUUCAUUUAAUUCAAUUAAAUCAUAUGUAAACCCUAAUUUGUACUUGGGCUCACAGAAAAUAAACCUAAGAAUUCAUCAAAGGAAAUAAAAGAUAAAUGACAAUACAAAUAUUGCGUUUUGUUUUGUCUUAUUUUUUUAAUUUUAUUUUCAAAUAUAUACGCAUGCAUGAUAAAGAUUCACAAUUAUGUAUAUAUAUAUAUACAUAUAGAUACAUAAUAUGGUAAAUAAUAGGUGGUAGUUGUUUUAUUUAUAAUAUGGUAAAUAAUAGGUGGUAGUUGAUUUAUUUAUUACAUGCUAAUAACAGCCAUGAGUUGAUAGUUGAUUUAUUUAUUAUAUGCUAAUAACAGCUAUCAGUUAUUGGUUGAUUUAUUUAUAUAUCGUGCUAAUAACAACCAUCAACUUGUAUAUAGUUUCUUGAUUUACUGCUGAUCGGAAGAUUACUGAUCGUUCAUUUAGGCGUUGGUGGGACUAAUGUUAACACCAUAGAUAACUAAACCCGUCUUCAUAGUCACGCUUUCAGUCCCGUCAAGAGCAAAUUUGAUAUCUCCAUAGUCAAACUUAUUGAAGAAUUCCCCAGCUUUGAGCGAAAAUGGUGUGUUUCUCGGAUAAUUCAUCAAUCCAUAUCCGUUCACUUGCGAGGAUCCAUUCGGAAGAGUAAGUGUAAGACUCACCGGACUUGCUAUGUUAAAGUUGUCUUUCAGCAGCACCACAAAAGAUACCUCAUAAGAUAAAUUUUCAAGCUUUUCUGUCAUAUAGUUUCCGUCAACAUGUAGGACUAAGCUACCAAUUAAUUCAGCACUGUCAGGACUGUAAAAAAUGAUAGUAGAAUUAAAGUCAGAAACUUUUGAUAUAAGGAGCUUAAAUUCAUUAAUAUAGUACAAUUAAUGCGAGUCCUUCUAUCUAACUAGACUUCAAUAAAAUUUCUUUAGUCCUUCUAUCACUUUAAUUUAAUGACAAAGUUGCUUAUAUCCCUAUUUUUAACUGAAUAAAAUUCAGGUGUUUAAGCACAAAUCUUGACCUUUGACGUCAAUUAAGUUAACUAAAUCUUAUUUCUACUUACGUAAACUUCCAGCCCGAAGGGUUGAAAUAAUUGAGUUUCUCAGCAGGUAUAUAAGCGCCAGAACUUUGAAUAAGACAAGAAAAAAAAAUUCAUAUCAUCCAUUACAAAAAAAUCUCACUUGCAAAAUUUACAAAUAUUAAGGAUUAUUUUUGUUCUAUAACCAACUUUAGCUAUAUAUAUGAUGUUUGUUUACAAUUUCAGUAGACUUACCUUCUGCCCUAUUCCGUUGUUUUGGAGCAACUCCAUUUCCUUGGCUUGGGACAACAAUGCCUUGAGGUCAACCUCAUUAUGCCUCACUACUUGUGCCAUCUCCUCGAUCGAUCGAUAACUAUCCUUUAAUUCUGCUAUAUAUAUAUAUAUAUAUAUAUUUUCUGUUUCUAUUCUUGAUGUCUAUAUAUCUCUCUUCCAAAGGCUAGCUCUAUUUAUACUGGCACAAACAGAGGGUACUGCGAUUAUUAUAUUCCAUAAU
This 16540-nucleotide long non-coding RNA is filed under the name Panax ginseng (ginseng). RNAcentral describes it as "long non-coding RNA (PGIN_LNC007105)". Lineage: Eukaryota; Viridiplantae; Streptophyta; Magnoliopsida; Apiales; Araliaceae. The record is from RNAcentral.